This 89-nucleotide transfer RNA is filed under the name bacterium. Its description in RNAcentral is "tRNA-Ser". It matches the Rfam family "tRNA". From Rfam's summary of the family: Transfer RNA (tRNA) molecules are approximately 80 nucleotides in length. Their secondary structure includes four short double-helical elements and three loops (D, anti-codon, and T loops). The record is from RNAcentral.
GGAGAGGUGCCCGAGUGGUCGAAGGGACGCGCUUGGAAAGCGCGGGUAUGCCGAAAGGUGUACCGCGGGUUCGAAUCCCGCCCUCUCCG